UCAGCAGUAAACUAACUGGAAAGUUACACGCUUUGGGUGUGUGUUUUGUAGGUUCGAGUCCUGCCUGCUGAA
RNAcentral lists this transfer RNA (72 nucleotides) under Clavulina sp. RNAcentral's name for it is "tRNA-Pro". It matches the Rfam family "tRNA". From Rfam's summary of the family: Transfer RNA (tRNA) molecules are approximately 80 nucleotides in length. The record is from RNAcentral. Lineage: Eukaryota; Fungi; Basidiomycota; Agaricomycetes; Cantharellales; Hydnaceae.